AGAUUGAACGCUGGCGGCAUGCUUUACACAUGCAAGUCGAGCGGCAGCGCGGGGCUCAGGCAACUGAGUCCUGGCGGCGAGCGGCGAACGGGUGAGGAAUACAUCGGAACGUACCCCGGAGUGGGGGAUAACGCCGCGAAAGCGGCGCUAAUACCGCAUAUGCUCUGUGGAGGAAAGUGGGGGCUUCGCAAGGACCUCACGCUCUGGGCGCGGCCGAUGUCCGAUUAGCUAGUUGGUGAGGUAAUGGCUCACCAAGGCGACGAUCGGUAGCUGGUCUGAGAGGAUGAUCAGCCACACUGGGACUGAGACACGGCCCAGACUCC
Molecule: ribosomal RNA, 323 nt
Filed under: uncultured soil bacterium
Lineage: Bacteria
Description: bacterial SSU rRNA
Rfam family: Bacterial small subunit ribosomal RNA
Source: RNAcentral